Molecule: ribosomal RNA, 468 nt
Filed under: uncultured bacterium
Lineage: Bacteria
Description: partial 16S ribosomal RNA
Rfam family: Bacterial small subunit ribosomal RNA
Source: RNAcentral
GACGAACGCUGGCGGCGUGCUUAACACAUGCAAGUCGAACGGAAAGGCCCUGCUUUUGUGGGGUGCUCGAGUGGCGAACGGGUGAGUAACACGUGAGUAACCUGCCCUUGACUUUGGGAUAACUUCAGGAAACUGGGGCUAAUACCGGAUAGGAGCUCCUGCUGCAUGGUGGGGGUUGGAAAGUUUCGGCGGUUGGGGAUGGACUCGCGGCUUAUCAGCUUGUUGGUGGGGUAGUGGCUUACCAAGGCUUUGACGGGUAGCCGGCCUGAGAGGGUGACCGGCCACAUUGGGACUGCGAUACGGCGCAGACUCCUACGGGAGGCAGCAGUGGGGAAUAUUGCACAAUGGGCGGAAGCCUGAUGCAGCAACGCCGCGUGCGGGAUGACGGCCUUCGGGUUGUAAACCGCUUUCGCCUGUGACGAAGCGUGAGUGACGGUAAUGGGUAAAGAAGCACCGGCUAACUACGUG